CAUUGAGAAGCUAUGAACCAGCACUAGCCUUUUAAGCUAGAGAAAGAGGGUGUCCCCUCCUUAAUGA
Molecule: transfer RNA, 67 nt
Filed under: Polyplectron napoleonis
Lineage: Eukaryota; Metazoa; Chordata; Aves; Galliformes; Phasianidae
Description: tRNA-Lys
Source: RNAcentral